RNAcentral lists this ribosomal RNA (1680 nucleotides) under Escherichia coli. RNAcentral describes it as "partial 23S ribosomal RNA". It matches the Rfam family "Bacterial large subunit ribosomal RNA", at positions 166 to 1869 of the family's 2925-position model. Lineage: Bacteria; Pseudomonadati; Pseudomonadota; Gammaproteobacteria; Enterobacterales; Enterobacteriaceae. RNAcentral also lists the same sequence under 1 other name. The record is from RNAcentral.
AUAGGUUAAUGAGGCGAACCGGGGGAACUGAAACAUCUAAGUACCCCGAGGAAAAGAAAUCAACCGAGAUUCCCCCAGUAGCGGCGAGCGAACGGGGAGGAGCCCAGAGCCUGAAUCAGUGUGUGUGUUAGUGGAAGCGUCUGGAAAGGCGCGCGAUACAGGGUGACAGCCCCGUACACAAAAAUGCACAUGCUGUGAGCUCGAUGAGUAGGGCGGGACACGUGGUAUCCUGUCUGAAUAUGGGGGGACCAUCCUCCAAGGCUAAAUACUCCUGACUGACCGAUAGUGAACCAGUACCGUGAGGGAAAGGCGAAAAGAACCCCGGCGAGGGGAGUGAAAAAGAACCUGAAACCGUGUACGUACAAGCAGUGGGAGCACAGAGCAAUCUGUGUGACUGCGUACCUUUUGUAUAAUGGGUCAGCGACUUAUAUUCUGUAGCAAGGUUAACCGAAUAGGGGAGCCGAAGGGAAACCGAGUCUUAACUGGGCGUUAAGUUGCAGGGUAUAGACCCGAAACCCGGUGAUCUAGCCAUGGGCAGGUUGAAGGUUGGGUAACACUAACUGGAGGACCGAACCGACUAAUGUUGAAAAAUUAGCGGAUGACUUGUGGCUGGGGGUGAAAGGCCAAUCAAACCGGGAGAUAGCUGGUUCUCCCCGAAAGCUAUUUAGGUAGCGCCUCGUGAAUUCAUCUCCGGGGGUAGAGCACUGUUUCGGCAAGGGGGUCAUCCCGACUUACCAACCCGAUGCAAACUGCGAAUACCGGAGAAUGUUAUCACGGGAGACACACGGCGGGUGCUAACGUCCGUCGUGAAGAGGGAAACAACCCAGACCGCCAGCUAAGGUCCCAAAGUCAUGGUUAAGUGGGAAACGAUGUGGGAAGGCCCAGACAGCCAGGAUGUUGGCUUAGAAGCAGCCAUCAUUUAAAGAAAGCGUAAUAGCUCACUGGUCGAGUCGGCCUGCGCGGAAGAUGUAACGGGGCUAAACCAUGCACCGAAGCUGCGGCAGCGACACUAUGUGUUGUUGGGUAGGGGAGCGUUCUGUAAGCCUGUGAAGGUGUGCUGUGAGGCAUGCUGGAGGUAUCAGAAGUGCGAAUGCUGACAUAAGUAACGAUAAAGCGGGUGAAAAGCCCGCUCGCCGGAAGACCAAGGGUUCCUGUCCAACGUUAAUCGGGGCAGGGUGAGUCGACCCCUAAGGCGAGGCCGAAAGGCGUAGUCGAUGGGAAACAGGUUAAUAUUCCUGUACUUGGUGUUACUGCGAAGGGGGGACGGAGAAGGCUAUGUUGGCCGGGCGACGGUUGUCCCGGUUUAAGCGUGUAGGCUGGUUUUCCAGGCAAAUCCGGAAAAUCAAGGCUGAGGCGUGAUGACGAGGCACUACGGUGCUGAAGCAACAAAUGCCCUGCUUCCAGGAAAAGCCUCUAAGCAUCAGGUAACAUCAAAUCGUACCCCAAACCGACACAGGUGGUCAGGUAGAGAAUACCAAGGCGCUUGAGAGAACUCGGGUGAAGGAACUAGGCAAAAUGGUGCCGUAACUUCGGGAGAAGGCACGCUGAUAUGUAGGUGAAGCGACUUGCUCGUGGAGCUGAAAUCAGUCGAAGAUACCAGCUGGCUGCAACUGUUUAUUAAAAACACAGCACUGUGCAAACACGAAAGUGGACGUAUACGGUGUGACGCCUGCCCGGUGC